GGGCAUGCAUCAGCUUCAGCCCUUAUCUCCUAGUCUGGAGCCUGGUCCAAGACUCCACCUGCAGACCCGCUAGGUUAUGACACUCUUGUCAAAAGGGGUGACCACAGGUGUCUCGGGUGUGAAGGCAUCUGCCACUCGAGAUCAUUCUGAAAAACUAAACUAAUUAAAUUGUAAUCACCGCCCUACAGGGAAACUCUCCCAGAGACGAGCCAUGGACAGUGCUUUACAGUUCUGGAGGAUUCUAUUUGAACAGGUCUGAUCGGCUGAUCCCAUCACCACCUGAACUGUGCAGAGAGCUGGGCCACUCACCGAAGUCUCCAUGCAAAGGCAGAGGGGCUGGGCAGAGGGUGGUUCUGAGAACUUUCGGAUACAUGGGAGCUCCCGAUCCAGCGCCUCAUAUUCCGAGAUGACCUGCCGCAGGAGCUGUCACAGGUCGCAGGACCAGGGAGUACUCACGAGGAUUUGGCAGGCUUGCCCAGGCUCCGAGACAUGGACUCCUCCAU
Long non-coding RNA from Mus caroli (Ryukyu mouse), 503 nucleotides. RefSeq lists it as uncharacterized. The record is from RefSeq and is a predicted model, not a curated record. NCBI's taxonomy places the organism in Eukaryota, Metazoa, Chordata, Mammalia, Rodentia, Muridae.